CCCUUUUGAGCGGGAGUAAAUUUGGAAACGGUGUUAAACCCGUUAAACAUGCCAACCGCAUGUUUUUUUAAAAGAGGUUUGGCUACCAUUAAGGAAGGUCCCGGGGGCCUUAGCUAGUGGUAAGGUAAUGCUUACCAAGGCGAUGAUGCAUAGCCGAGUUGAGAGACUGAUCGGCCACAAUGGGAAUGAGACACGGCCCAUAUUCCUACGGGAGGCAGCAGUAGGGAAUCUUCCACAAUGGGGGAAAGCCUGAUGGAGCAACGCCGCGUGUGUGAUGAAGGGUUUCGGCUCGUAAAACACUGUUGUAAGAGAAGAAUGACAUUGAGAGUAACUGUUCAAUGUGUGACGGUAUCUUACCAGAAAGGAACGGCUAAAUACGUGCCAGCAGCCGCGGUAAUACGUAUGUUCCAAGCGUUAUCCGGAUUUAUUGGGCGUAAAGCGAGCGCAGACGGUUAUUUAAGUCUGAAGUGAAAGCCCUCAGCUCAACUGAGGAAUUGCUUUGGAAACUGGAUGACUUGAGUGCAGUAGAGGAAAGUGGAACUCCAUGUGUAGCGGUGAAAUGCGUAGAUAUAUGGAAGAACACCAGUGGCGAAGGCGGCUUUCUGGACUGUAACUGACGUUGAGGCUCGAAAGUGUGGGUAGCAAACAGGAUUAGAUACCCUGGUAGUCCACACCGUAAACGAUGAGUGCUAGGUGUUUGAGGGUUUCCGCCCUUAAGUGCCGCAGCUAACGCAUUAAGCACUCCGCCUGGGGAGUACGACCGCAAGGUUGAAACUCAAAGGAAUUGACGGGGACCCGCACAAGCGGUGGAGCAUGUGGUUUAAUUCGAAGCAACGCGAAGAACCUUACCAGGUCUUGACAUCCCUUGACAACUCCAGAGAUGGAGCGUUCCCUUCGGGGACAAGGUGACAGGUGGUGCAUGGUUGUCGUCAGCUCGUGUCGUGAGAUGUUGGGUUAAGUCCCGCAACGAGCGCAACCCUUAUUACUAGUUGCCAGCAUUCAGUUGGGCACUCUAGUGAGACUGCCGGUGACAAACCGGAGGAAGGUGGGGAUGACGUCAAAUCAUCAUGCCCCUUAUGACCUGGGCUACACACGUGCUACAAUGGCGUAUACAACGAGUUGCCAACCCGCGAGGGUGAGCUAAUCUCUUAAAGUACGUCUCAGUUCGGAUUGUAGGCUGCAACUCGCCUACAUGAAGUCGGAAUCGCUAGUAAUCGCGGAUCAGCACGCCGCGGUGAAUACGUUCCCGGGUCUUGUACACACCGCCCGUCACACCAUGAGAGUUUGUAACACCCAAAGCCGGUGGGGUAACCUUCGGGAGCCAGCCGUCUAAGGUGGGACAGGAUGAUUAAGGGUAAAGUU
Molecule: ribosomal RNA, 1362 nt
Filed under: Weissella sp.
Lineage: Bacteria; Bacillati; Bacillota; Bacilli; Lactobacillales; Lactobacillaceae
Description: bacterial SSU rRNA
Rfam family: Bacterial small subunit ribosomal RNA
Source: RNAcentral